CAGAAGGUACACUGGCCCUGGAGUAGGGAAGUUUCCCUAAUCCAUCUCUUUGACCAUGACCUUCACAAAAGUGACUAUAGAGGAGUCAUUUUAAAAUGGAGUCAGAGCUGCCUGUCCAGAGAAAUUGCUUGGCUGUCUUAAACCUCGGACUGGGCCAAACCUGUGGAGAGGACCAGAAUGGCAAUUGUUUUACAAGCAAUUGUUUGAGAAGUCAGCAGGAGAACAGACACUCUGAUCACAAAGACCGAGGGUUGUGGACUUUCUGAAGAUGGAAUCAAUAGCCAAUCAAUGUUUAACCAAGACUAGCUGUCUGCCUCCAACUCCAAUUAAAAUUCUUUGUAAUACAACCUCCCUUCUUUGCCUUUAAAAGCUCCUGAUUUUUAGUGCCUAGUGGAACACUUUUUGAGUUUCUACCUAAAUAUGUUUCUCCCAAAUUGCAGUUCUAAUUGCCCAAAUAAAUAUCUGCUGUUUAAAUUGCAGUGAUUUUUCCUCUGUCAACAACCUACGAGGUGGUAAGCAACUAUAAGACGUGAGGCCAGAGAAAUGUGCUUGUCAUUUGUGUGUCCUCAGUCUCUGGUACUAGUCACAGAGUCAGUGCCCUGAAUGCUUUCGAGUAAAUUAAUUAAUCAGUGUUGGAAAAUACUCAAGGUACGACUUCAAGAACUUGAAUUCCCAGGCAAGACUGGGAUCUCAGGAGCCAAAGCUGAGCACAGGAGAAGGAAUUGUUAGAUGUACAAAUAAAAAGAUCUGACAGUUGACUUUAAUUGCAUAAAGAAACACAGCCUUUCGCAUUUGAACUUUGACCAACCAGGCAUCUCACACAUGUCCUGAGCGGAGCCAUUGAUGUCCCCAUAGUCUCCCAUCUCAAUACGUGUCAACUCUACUCUUCCAGUUGCACAGGCCAAAAAACUUUCGUUAUCCUUGACCCCUCUCUUUCACUCACACCAGUCCAGGAGAAAAUCCCAACGGCUUUUCCUUCAAAAGAUAUUUGGAGUCCAACCAUGUCUUAAGGCUUCCCCUUAAGCCAUCCAUCAUCCUUCCAAGCCAUCAUCCUCUCUCUCCUGGAUUAUUGCAAUCACCUCCUUCUGGUCCCCCUGCUGUCACCUCAGCCGCCUCUAAUCUAGUCUCAACUCAGCAGCCAGGAAGCUCCUGUUAAAACAGUCAGGUCAUGUCGCCCCUCCACUCAAACCCCUCAGCGUGAAGGCCAGAGUCUUCACUGUGUUCUACAUGACAGUGCGAACAGGCUCUUUGUCUCCACCAUGACCUCAUCUCACCAUAGGCUCUUCUCGCUUACCCAGCUCCAGGCUCGUCCACCUCUGGGCCUCUGCUCUAGCUGUUCCUCUGCCUGGAAGACUCUUUCCUAGAUGUCAGCGUGCUCUGGGCUAUGCAGAAUAAUGGCCCCCUGAAGAUAUCUAUGUCCUAAUCCUUGGAACCUGUGAAUACAUUAGGGUUCAUGGCAGAGGAGAAUUAGAGCAAUAGAUGGAGUUUGUGUUAUGGGCUGAACUGUGUCCCCUCAAAACUCCUAUAUUGGAGUCCUAACCCCCAGGACUUCAGAAAGUUACUGUGUUUGGGGACAGAGUCUUUAAAGAGGUAAAAUGAGGUCAUUGCGGGUGGGCUCUAAUAACUGGUGUCCUAAUCAGAAGAGAUCAGGACACAGACACACGCAGAGAAGACGAGGUGAAGACACAGGGAGAAGACAGCCACCCACAAACCAAGGAGCAAGGCAUUAGAAGAAACCAACUCUGCUGACACCUUGGUUCCAAACUUCUCACCUCCAGAAUUGUGAGAAAAUAAAUUUCUGCUGUUUAAGCCACGCACUCUGUGGUCCUUUGUGACGGCAGCCCCAGCAAACUAACACAGGCUGCUCAUCAGCUAACCGUGAGACGAGAUUAGCCUGGAUUAUCCAGCUGGGCCCAAUGGAAUCACAGGGUCCUUAUAAAUGGAAGAGGGAGGCAGAGAGAGAGAACCAAAGAGACGGCGUGAGGUGCGCUGGGUCUGGUGAUGCCGGCUUUGAAAAUGGAGGAAUUCGGUUACAAGCCAAGGUGUGCAGGUUGACUAUGGAAACUGGCAAAGGGGAGGAGAGGAAACACACUCUCCUCUAGAACCUCCAGGAGGAACGCAGCCCAGCCAACGCCUUGAUUUUAGCCCCUGAGACCAAUUCUGGACGUCUGACCUCCAGAAUAGUAAGAUAAUAAAUUUGUGAUGUUUAAGCCACUAAAUUUAUAGUAAUUUGUCAGAGCAUCAACAGGAAACUAACAUGCCCCUCUUCAUCUCCUUCAGGUCUCUAACUCGCUUCUCAGCGCAGCCUGCCCGGACUUCCCUGUUUAAAAUUGAACACCCCCACCCCCACCCCUCUUUCCCACUUUAUUUUUCUCUUUAGCAUUUAUUACCAUCUAACGUAUGACAGAUUUUGACUUAUUUAUCACGUUUAUUGUUUGUCUCCCUCUUUAAAACAUAAACACACAAGGGCAUGAAUUUUUGCUUCUUUUGAAUCUUCCAACCACAUAGUAGAUGUUCAAGAAAUAUUCAAUGAAUUGGCUAAACAGUUUAACUUGAAUAGGGAAAGUAUUAAUUUAAGAUUACGUAAUUAUAAACAACCCUUUCCCCAUAAAACAGCCACCGCCCCCCCAAAAAAAUGUUCUAUAAUUUGUGGUGGUUGUCUCUUUAUAUUUUCUUAAUUCAGUUUUAGAAUCAAAUAGAUCCUGGUCUAUCCACAAUGACAGUCACACAAGAAGGCGCAUCAGAGAGGCUGGCCCCAUGGCCAAGUGGUUAAGUUCGUGCGCUCCGCUUCGGCGGCCCAGGGUUUCACCGGUUCAAGUCCUGGGUGCGGACAUGGCACCACUUGUCAGGCCACGCUGGGGUAGCAUCCCACAUGCCACAACUGGAAGGACCCACAACUAAAAAUACACAACUAUGUACCAGGGGGCUUUGGGGAGAAAAAGGAAAAAUAAAAUCUUAAAAAAUAAAAAAAUAAAUAAUAAUAAAAAAAGAAGAGGCAUCAGAAAGGAGUCGUAAAAAGAACCAACUGUGUUAAUAGCAUUGGCCAGAAGGUUUGGGGGGGCAUCUAACAAGUAAACUACAGGGGGCUGUGCCCCACCCACUCCUGGGCCUUGGCUCCACCUCAGCGGUUGCCCGUGCUCAGAGAAUGGGAAUCUUUGGAAAUAUUAGUCAGUUCCCUAGAACAGGUGUGUGCAUUUCUCUAGGGAAAGAAUCCAUUGAUGUCACCAGCUUCUCAAAGGGGUCAGUGAACAUUUAGGGAUCCCUGACCUAGAAUCAGCCAUUUGUCUGUAAAUAUUCUCACCAGGAUUCCAGACCUUACCCACAGAGAUCAUGUUUGAACUAAUAUAAUAAACUGGUGAUAAAAUAAGGGUCCGAUGAUUGUGAUUUUCAAUUUUAAAAUAAUUUUUCUGUGCUGAUCCAACCUUAG
Molecule: long non-coding RNA, 3427 nt
Filed under: Equus caballus (horse)
Lineage: Eukaryota; Metazoa; Chordata; Mammalia; Perissodactyla; Equidae
Description: lncRNA (ENSECAG00000045035.1)
Source: RNAcentral